RNAcentral lists this ribosomal RNA (253 nucleotides) under uncultured bacterium. RNAcentral describes it as "partial 16S ribosomal RNA". It matches the Rfam family "Bacterial small subunit ribosomal RNA", at positions 524 to 776 of the family's 1533-position model. The record is from RNAcentral.
UACGAAGGGGGCGAGCGUUAUCCGGAAUUAUUGGGCGUAAAGCGUCCGCAGGUGGCACCUCAAGUCUGCUGUCAAAGACUGGGGCUUAACCCCAGAAAGGCAGUGGAAACUGAAGCGCUAGAGUGCAGUAGGGGUAGAGGGAAUUCCCGGUGUAGCGGUGAAAUGCGUAGAGAUCGGGAAGAACAUCGGUGGCGAAAGCGAUCUGCUGGACUGCAACUGACACUCAGGGACGAAAGCUAGGGGAGCGAAUGGG